Non-coding RNA from Vicia faba (fava bean), 204 nucleotides. The record is from the annotation of a GenBank genome assembly. NCBI's taxonomy places the organism in Eukaryota, Viridiplantae, Streptophyta, Magnoliopsida, Fabales, Fabaceae.
AUGACCAAGAGAUUUCAAGCAUUAGAACUCAUUUGGAAGAUAUCUAAGUUUUGUAGAUAUCACAGAAAAUUCCUUGAGACUUGGGCACCCAUAGAGCUCGAGAAUUCAGAGUUGAAAGGGGAAUUGCUUAUAAGACUCUUGAGCUUUUUGCACCAAACCGGGUUUAAAUUGACAAGUUUUUGGAGCGCUAAAGUAGAUGUAUGA